This 441-nucleotide unclassified non-coding RNA is filed under the name Hevea brasiliensis (rubber tree). The record is from RNAcentral. Lineage: Eukaryota; Viridiplantae; Streptophyta; Magnoliopsida; Malpighiales; Euphorbiaceae.
UUUUUUUUUUUUAAACAAAAUAAGAGCAAUCAAGAGAGAGUUAUAGCAGGACCCAAAACAGAAACAAACUCAGAAAAAUGCAGAUAAUAGUAGUAAUAGUAAAGAUAAAUAUAUAAAUUUAUAGUCUAAAUUUCUUAUUUGGAGCCAAAAUCAUGAAACGUAGUAUAACCAGUAGAGGAAAACAACUGAGAAAGAUUGACGAUUGAACAAGAUGGGUCCUGCGCCUAUAGGUGGAAUUGAUCAUAAACCCAGAAAGGAAGAUUUCACUGAGAAUUGGAGACAUGAAUCUCAAAAAUCAAGAACAAAAUAUUUAGCAUCAGGACAAACUUUAAAAACCCACAAAAGAAAGAUGUGCAAAAUCUGCAGAUUUAUGCUUAAAACCAGUCUCAAAAACACCAACCCAGAUUUGGCAACUUUUUGAGAUUGGAAGGCAAGAAAUCA